Molecule: long non-coding RNA, 763 nt
Filed under: Ictidomys tridecemlineatus (thirteen-lined ground squirrel)
Lineage: Eukaryota; Metazoa; Chordata; Mammalia; Rodentia; Sciuridae
Description: lncRNA (ENSSTOG00000033562.1)
Source: RNAcentral
CAAACUUUCUACUGAGAGCAGAUCCAGCCGCGGCUUCAUCUCUGUGGGGAGUUCUCCCAGGUCCUGAUGGAGGCACAGGGAAUUGAUCUAUUAGAUUAACCAGGAAGGAAGGAGCAGGAGAGCGAGCGAGGGAGGUGGUGGGGCUGAGCUUUUGCUGCGUGGCUGUCCCCUCCCUCUGACUGGAGUAUUAAUUGCCACAUUACCGCUGCCAUGCUCGCUCGGAAGACAGUCAGCAAAGCCUGCGAGGGCUCAGCUCCUCCCUCCCUGCUCUGCUCAAUUUCACUCUCCUCCCCGGUUCCGUGAGCGCUGGUGCCGGCAGUGCCGUCCCAGCCCUGCACCCCGAGGUCCUCCCGUGGUGAGGACUUGAGUGGACAGUGGCAGUGGGUGGAGAGAGGAGGAGGGUUCGCCCUGCAGGCUCUCUGGAUGCAGAAGCUGGACGUGCUGCAGAGGAGGCUGUACUCUUCCUGGAGCCUGGCUUCUGGGGUGCACCCAUCUCUCGGGGUUCACCUAGGCAGCCUCCGAGUUCCAGGGGCACUCGGGGAGGGUACUGUCCCUUCUGGGUGCUGACAGCAGAGCCUGCCUCCCCUCUGCCACCAUGAGCGGCUGUUCCAGAAGAUGCAAGCUCGGCUUCGUGAAAUUUGCCCAGACCAUCUUUAAGCUCAUCACCGGGACCCUCAGCAAAGGAAGAACGAGUCCUUUUGGGGGACGAGGCACCGGAAGCAGCAGGCAGAAUAUUCAGGGAAGGAGGCCCCUAAAACCUUGA